This 497-nucleotide ribosomal RNA is filed under the name uncultured bacterium. Its description in RNAcentral is "partial 16S ribosomal RNA". It matches the Rfam family "Bacterial small subunit ribosomal RNA", at positions 28 to 507 of the family's 1533-position model. The record is from RNAcentral.
GAUGAACGCUGGCGGCGUGCCUAAUACAUGCAAGUCGAGCGAACAGACGAGGAGCUUGCUCCUCUGACGUUAGCGGCGGACGGGUGAGUAACACGUGGAUAACCUACCUAUAAGACUAGGAUAACUUCGGGAAACCGGAGCUAAUACCGGAUAACAUGUUGAACCGCAUGGUUCAACAGUGAAAGACGGUUUUGCUGUCACUUAUAGAUGGAUCCGCGUCGCAUUAGCUAGUUGGUAAGGUAACGGCUUACCAAGGCAACGAUGCGUAGCCGACCUGAGAGGGUGAUCGGCCACACUGGAACUGAGACACGGUCCAGACUCCUACGGGAGGCAGCAGUAGGGAAUCUUCCGCAAUGGGCGAAAGCCUGACGGAGCAACGCCGCGUGAGUGAAGAAGGUCUUCGGAUCGUAAAACUCUGUUAUUAGGGAAGAACAAAUGUGUAAGUAACUAUGCACGUCUUGACGGUACCUAAUCAGAAAGCCACGGCUAACUACGUG